This 330-nucleotide ribosomal RNA is filed under the name uncultured Actinomycetes bacterium. RNAcentral describes it as "bacterial SSU rRNA". It matches the Rfam family "Bacterial small subunit ribosomal RNA", at positions 28 to 351 of the family's 1533-position model. Lineage: Bacteria; Bacillati; Actinomycetota; Actinomycetes. The record is from RNAcentral.
GACGAACGCUGGCGGCGUGCCUAACACAUGCAAGUGGAGCGACGAACCAGACUUCGGUCUGGGGCCAAGCCGCGAACGGGUGAGUAACACGUGGGUAACCUGCCCCGAUGAUCGGGACAACCCGGGGAAACCCGGGCUAAUACCGAAUGUGGUCCCGGCUCUUGAGAGCCGUGACGAAAGGAAGCUUCGGCCUCCGCAUUGGGAGGGGCCCGCGGCCCAUUAGCUAGUUGGUGAGGUAACGGCUCACAAAGGCUUCGAUGGGUAGCUGGUCUGAGAGGACGAUCAGCCACACUGGGACUGAGACACGGCCCAGACUCCUACGGGAGGCAG